GGAGGGAUGGCCGAGUGGACGAAGGCGACGGUCUUGAAAACCGUUGUGGCCGCAAGGUCACCGGGGGUUCGAAUCCCUCUCCCUCCGCCA
This 90-nucleotide transfer RNA is filed under the name Stutzerimonas stutzeri. RNAcentral describes it as "tRNA-Ser". It matches the Rfam family "tRNA". Rfam says of the family: Transfer RNA (tRNA) molecules are approximately 80 nucleotides in length. The record is from RNAcentral. RNAcentral also lists the same sequence under 1 other name. Lineage: Bacteria; Pseudomonadati; Pseudomonadota; Gammaproteobacteria; Pseudomonadales; Pseudomonadaceae.